GGUUGACCUCGGAUCAGGUAGGAAUACCCGCUG
Molecule: ribosomal RNA, 33 nt
Filed under: Calluna vulgaris root associated fungus
Lineage: Eukaryota; Fungi
Also listed under: 1 other name
Description: partial 28S ribosomal RNA
Source: RNAcentral